Molecule: ribosomal RNA, 175 nt
Filed under: uncultured bacterium
Lineage: Bacteria
Description: partial 16S ribosomal RNA
Rfam family: Bacterial small subunit ribosomal RNA
Source: RNAcentral
CUGGAAUCGCUAGUAAUCGCGGAUCAGAAUGCCGCGGUGAAUACGUUCCCGGGUCUUGUACACACCGCCCGUCACACCAUGGGAGUCGGAAAUGCCCGAAGUCUGUGACCCAACCUCAGGGAGGGAGCAGCCGAAGGCAGGUCGGAUGACUGGGGUGAAGUCGUAACAAGGUAAC